CACGUAGGGCGCGAGCGUUGUCCGGAAUUAUUGGGCGUAAAGAGCUCGUAGGCGGUUUGUUGCGUCGGCUGUGAAAUCCCGAGGCUCAACCUCGGGUCUGCAGUCGAUACGAGCAAACUAGAGUGUUGCAGGGGAGACUGGAAUUCCUGGUGUAGCGGUGAAAUGCGCAGAUAUCAGGAGGAACACCGGUGGCGAAGGCGGGUCUCUGGGCAACAACUGACGCUGAGGAGCGAAAGCGUGGGGAGCGAACAGG
This 253-nucleotide ribosomal RNA is filed under the name uncultured bacterium. RNAcentral describes it as "partial 16S ribosomal RNA". It matches the Rfam family "Bacterial small subunit ribosomal RNA", at positions 524 to 776 of the family's 1533-position model. The record is from RNAcentral.